AAUUGAAAUAAGGAAUUAUGCAUUUCCUUUUCUUUUUCCUCUCUCUCCCUCUCUUUUCUUUUCUUUCUUUUCUUUCUCUCUCCUCUCUCCUCUCCCUUUCCCCCUCGUGCGAAUUCCCCACCGCUCACUUUCCCUCUCUCUUUUAUUGACCGGUCAACCCUUAUCCCUUUUCUCUCUCUCUCUCUCUCUCUCUCUCUUUCUUUUUCUUCUUCUUCCUCCGCACGCUCGACCGAACCAGCUUCUUUCUUCUCCUUCUUUUCUUCGCCGAGCGAACCAGAAGCUGUAGCUCGCCCCUCAGCCGCUUGCCGCUCGUCCCGCUCGCCGCGCCGUCGCACCGCCGCCCGCGCCCGUGCGCUCGCCGCCGUCCGCGUGCGCCCAGGCCGCGCGAUCCAGCUCGGCCCAGCCCUGUUUCGCCUCUGUUCCAGCACCGACCAGCCCAUCUCCGGCCACCUCCGGCCACCGCCAACCUCGCCGGACCUCCCCCGCGACUCCCUCGCCCUCCGCCGGUUUCCCCUCGCCGCCCUAGCCGCCGGAGCAGGCCCGAUCGGCUCCGUCCAGCAGACCCACGGAGUGGGUUUCAGCAUCUUCGGGCCCGCUUUUGGGCCGUUUCCCGGCCCCGAACCCGAGCCGUGCUUUGGGAACAAUCGUUCCUCGCGUCGCUGCCGUCGGAUUGAUCCGAUUUGCGUGCGAUUUGGUGAGUAAUCUCACUAAUCCAGGAUUAGUUGGCUAAUUAUGCUUAAGGUUGGUUUAGAUUUAAUUAAUUAUGUUUAGGUUGUUAGAUUAGAAUAAAUUAGCAAUUAUUAGUCAAUUGUGAUGUGAUUUAGAUAAAUUGAUUGUGUAAUUAGCAAGUAGACGUGGUCUACUAAUUAUUGGAAGUGCCUCGGGAUUUUUCCCGACCCUUAGUGGCUCCAAUAGGCUUUUCGGGCUAAGUGGAUAUUUUGUAUUUAAAUAUUAAUUUUCGGAAUUAAAUUAAUAAUUAUUUAUUUCCGAAAAUUCAAGGGAGAUGGUUCGGAACCGGAAUAUUGUGCUGAUGACUGUGGUGAAGUCCGUUUAUUUAAUCGGGCUUUAAUUUGAGUUAAAUGGGAUUUUUAAUAUUAAUUAUUUAAUAUCCGAAAUUAAUUAAAUAAUUAUUUAUUUUCUGAAAAUUCAACUGAGAUGGCCCGGGGCCGGAAUAUUGUGCUGAUGACUGUGGUGAAGUCCGUUUAUGUAAUCGGGCUUUAUUUUGAGCUAAAUUGAAUUUUUAAUAUUAAUUAUUUAAUUUUCGAAAUUAAUAAAUAAAUUAAUUAUUUUUCGGAAAUUAAGAUUUUGAUGGCCGACGACCGAAAUCUCGUGCUGAUCGUCGUGGUGCAGUCCGUUUAUUUAUUUGAGCUCCACGUUGUAUGGAAUUGAAUAAAUUGUGAUAUUUUAGGGAUUUACCCUAAAUUGAUUGGAAUCGAUUGAGAUUGAAUUAUCGAUUGGUGAAUGGCCAAGUAUGUUCAUUCAGCAUUUAUAAUGCUUUGUUGAGUUAAUUUAAUUAUUUGAUUGAGUAUCGAUUGGUGAAUGGCCAAGUAUGUUCAUUCAGCAUUUAUAAUGCUUUGUUGAGUUAAUUUAAUUAUUUGAUUGAGUAUUGAUUGGUGAAUGGCCAAGUAUGUUUAUUCAGCAUUUAUAAUGUUUUGUUGAGUUGAUUUAUUUAUUUGAUUGAGAAAUCGUUGGGCAUUGGUUGUCGAUAUUGAAAGUGAACUGGUAACCACUGCAAAGAGGACACGUGGCUCGGUGAAUUGGAAUGUCACCUGGAAAAUGCACGUGAGUUCAGUGGUUGAAUAUGUCACCUUGGCGAAAAGGUCGCCUGAGAGAAUGCACGUGGCUCGGAGACUCGGUAUGUCGUCCUGGAGAAUGCACGUGGCUCGGUGACAGGAUUUAGCAUCUAAAAGGACACGUGGUCUCGGCGAAUUGAUGCAUCGCUUUGGUGAGAUGCACCUUAGAGAAUGCACGUGGGUCCAGCAUUCCGGAAUGGCAUCUAAAAGGGCACGUGGUCUUGGCGAAUUGAUGCAUCGCUUUGGUGAGAUGCACCUAAGAGAAUGCACGUGGGCUCGGGCAUCUAAAAGGGCACGUGGUCUCGGUGACUUGAUGCAUCACUUUGGCGAAAAGGGUCGCCUGAGAGAAUGCACGUGGGCCCAAGGUUCGAGGCACGUGAACUCGGAGACUUGGAAUGUCGUCCUAGAGAAUGCACGUGGCCUCGCUUUUAGAUACUCCUCUGUGGAGAGUGAUUUGUUUGACAUGUAAUCGACUAGGUCGAUGCUUUGAUUUGAUGUGAAUUGAUUGACUGAAUGGGAAUGACCGUGAGUGGUCUUGUUGGAAUAUAAUCGACUAGGUCGAUUUGAUCGAUGCUUCGAUCAGUGAUAUGAUUGCUUGGGUGCCUAUUAUGAAUUGUACUGACUUGCAGGUGGGAUCUGAGGCCAAGGUAAGUCCUCUGCCCUGUGCGUGUUUAGGCAGCCUUUAGUAUAAUAGUUACUAAUCGGGCUUAGUGGGGUAGAACUCGCUGAGACGUAGUCUCAUCCCAGUUUGGGGAAACCAUUUCAGGACCCCGCUGAAGAGCUGUGGAGGAGGAAUCCGAGAAGGAGAACUCGGAGGUGAGAUCUGAAGAAAAUGAUUUUUGGAAGAAGAAGACAAUCCUGAGAGGGGCCUUGAGUACGGCCUAGUUCAUCUAAGUUUCUGUCUUCUUUUGAGAUCUCCGUUUUGAUGUGAAUAGUUAUGAAAGGGUUUGUGGUUUGUAUAAAAGUGUGGUUAUAAAUUUCAAUAUGAAAAAUAUGGCCCUGCUUUUCUAUCCCAUCGUUUUAUUGUCUGGGGAUUUUAACUGCUUCUGCAUGUGCUUAAAAAAUUAAAAGGGUCGGCGAUACAUUGUCCUGGGAUAUCGCUUUAUAAAAUCGACCAAGUGAGACGGAUGUGUGCGUGCCUGAGGAUCG
RNAcentral lists this long non-coding RNA (2942 nucleotides) under Eucalyptus grandis. RNAcentral describes it as "long non-coding RNA (EGRA_LNC004459)". Lineage: Eukaryota; Viridiplantae; Streptophyta; Magnoliopsida; Myrtales; Myrtaceae. The record is from RNAcentral.